GAAGCUUUUCAGUAGUUUACUACAGAAAAUGACUGAGCGGCGAACGGGUGAGUAACGCGUGAGCAAUCUACCUUAGUUACAGGGAUAGCCCGAGGAAACUCGGAUUAAUACCUGAUAUUCUUUAUUUCUCGCAUGAGAAUAAAAGGAAAGGUCAGCCGAACUAAGAUGAGCUCGCGUUCUAUCAGCUAGUUGGUGAGGUAAAAGCUUACCAAGGCUACGACGGAUAGCUGGUCUGAGAGGACGAUCAGCCACACUGGGACUGAGACACGGCCCAGACUCCUACGGGAGGCUGCAGCAGGGAAUAUUGUGCAAUGAACGAAAGUUUGACACAGCGACACCGCGUGUGGGAUGACGGAUCUAGGUUUGUAAACCACUUUCAGGAGGGAAGAAAAUGACGGUACCUCCACAAGAAGCCCCGGCCAACUACGUGCCAGCAGCCGCGGUAAUACGUAGGGGGCGAGCGUUGUCCGGAUUUAUUGGGCGUAAAGAGCUCGUAGGCGGUUCAACAAGUCGGUCGUGAAAGUUCAGGGCUCAACCCUGAAAUGUCGAUCGAUACUGUUGNGACUA
RNAcentral lists this ribosomal RNA (567 nucleotides) under uncultured bacterium. Its description in RNAcentral is "bacterial SSU rRNA". It matches the Rfam family "Bacterial small subunit ribosomal RNA", at positions 64 to 643 of the family's 1533-position model. The record is from RNAcentral.